UUUGGUUACUUGAAUUUACUGAGAAGACUGAGCAAAGGGAAGUUUAGUGAUAUCAUGUUACAAUUUUAUGAAGUCCAAAAGAAUGCUAGAUUUCCAAAUUUACUUGUGAGAGACAAAAGGAUACAAGUGUGUGUCAUUGUGUACAUAAAGUUUCGGUCUCACCCCUGUACAAUGACCUUUAUUUGCAGUAGAUGGCAUUUCUGAUAACAUUGCUUCAGAGCUGGAGAACUUCAUGGGGCUCAUCGAGGUGGUGACGGGCUACGUGAAGAUCCGCCAUUCUCAUGCCUUGGUCUCCUUGUCCUU
This 303-nucleotide small RNA is filed under the name Pan troglodytes (chimpanzee). Its description in RNAcentral is "processed transcript". The record is from RNAcentral. Lineage: Eukaryota; Metazoa; Chordata; Mammalia; Primates; Hominidae.